RNAcentral lists this ribosomal RNA (914 nucleotides) under uncultured fungus. RNAcentral describes it as "SSU rRNA". It matches the Rfam family "Eukaryotic small subunit ribosomal RNA", at positions 737 to 1677 of the family's 1831-position model. The record is from RNAcentral. Lineage: Eukaryota; Fungi.
GAAAAUCCAGGACUUUUACCUGGAAAAAAUAGAGUGUUCAAGCAGGCCUUGCUCGAUACGUAGCAUGGAUAAUAAAAUAAGGGCGUGGCGUUCUAUUUGUUGGUUUCUAGAGGACGCCGGCAAUGAUACAGGAACAAGUCGGGGGCAUCAGUAUUCAGUUGUCAGAGGGUGAAAUUCUUGGAUUUACUGAAGACUAACUACUGCGGAAAGCGUUUGCCAAGGAUGUUUUCAUUAAUCAGUGAACGAAAGUUAGGGGAUCGAAGACGAUCAGAUACCGUCGUAGUCUUAACCGUAAACUAUGCCGACUAGGGAUCGGGCGAUGUUCUUUUUCUGACUCGCUCGGCACCUUACGAGAAAUCAAAGUUUUUGGGUUCUGGGGGGAUUAUGGUCGCAAGGCUGAAACUUAAAGAAAUUGACGGAAGGUCACCACCAGGCGUGGAGCCUGCGGCUUAAUUUGACUCAACACGGGGAAACUCACCAGGUCCAGAUGAAAUAAGGAUUGACAGAUUGAGAGCUCUUUCUUGAUUUUUCAGGUGGUGGUGCAUGGCCGUUCUUAGUUCGUGGGGUGACUUGUCUGCUUAAUUGCGAUAACGAGCGAGACCUUACUCUGCUAAAUAGCCAGGCUAGCUUUGGCUGGUCGCCGGCUUCUUAGAGAGACUAUCAACUCAAGUUGAUGGAAGUUUGAGGCAAUAACAGGUCUGUGAUGCCCUUAGAUGUUCUGGGCCCCACGCGCGCUACACUGACAGAGCCAACGAGUUCUUCACCUUGACCGAAAGGUCUGGGUAAUCUUGUUAAACUCUGUCGUGCUGGGGAUAAAGCAUUGCAAUUAUUGCUUUUCAACGAGGAAUGCCUAGUAAGCGCGUGUCAUCAGCAUGCGUUGAUUACGUCCCUGACCUUUGCACUCACCGCCCGUC